RNAcentral lists this non-coding RNA (246 nucleotides) under Ruminococcus flavefaciens. RNAcentral's name for it is "T-box sequence". It matches the Rfam family "T-box leader". From Rfam's summary of the family: Uncharged tRNA acts as the effector for transcription antitermination of genes in the T-box leader family. T-boxes are found upstream of many aminoacyl-tRNA synthetase genes and some amino acid biosynthetic genes usually in Gram-positive bacteria. The anticodon of a specific tRNA base pairs to a specifier sequence within the T-box motif, and the NCCA acceptor tail of the tRNA base pairs to a conserved bulge in the T-box antiterminator hairpin. The record is from RNAcentral. Lineage: Bacteria; Bacillati; Bacillota; Clostridia; Eubacteriales; Oscillospiraceae.
ACAUAAGCUAUGAGGAAGACAAGCAGAGGAUUGCCAAUGUCUGCAGAGAGCCGACGGUCGGUGUGAGUCGGUGUCAAGCAAUGCUAUGUAUCCCUUCUGAGCCGGAAUGCUGAAAGGAUUUCAGUAAGCGUUCCCGUGAUUCUGCGUUAAUGAAUAGGACUUGCUGGAGUCUGAAGUGGUGUUACGCAAUAGCGGCACAAUUUGAGUGGUACCGCGGGUAAUCUGAUUAUGAUACUCGUCUCAAAG